Molecule: ribosomal RNA, 253 nt
Filed under: uncultured bacterium
Lineage: Bacteria
Description: partial 16S ribosomal RNA
Rfam family: Bacterial small subunit ribosomal RNA
Source: RNAcentral
UACGUAGGGUGCGAGCGUUAAUCGGAAUUACUGGGCGUAAAGCGUGCGCAGGCGGCUUUGCAAGACAGAUGUGAAAUCCCCGGGCUCAACCUGGGAACUGCAUUUGUGACUGCAAGGCUAGAGUACGGUAGAGGGUGGUGGAAUUUCCUGUGUAGCGGUGAAAUGCGUAGAUAUAGGAAGGAACACCAAUGGCGAAGGCAAUCCCCUGGGCCUGUACUGACGCUCAUGCACGAAAGCGUGGGGAGCAAACAGG